UUUCACAUCUCCGUUCCGUGGGUUUCUGCCACACACAAACAAAAACCGAACUCUUUGCAAGCGAUCGUUUCUGGUCUGGGCGAACGCUGCUUACUGCUUCGUCCGUGCAGCACCAGCGAAAUGAAGCCUCAGGGUCGGGAGGGCCGAGGACACGGAUUGGAGUGAAGGGAUCGUGUCAGGAGAGGAGUGUGGAGCGAGGACACGAGCUUGUAAAAGGAGAGUGGGGCUCGGAACUGUGGCAGUGUCCUCGCCUCUCUUGCACAACCUGGAAGAGCCAUUCGCUUUCCAGCUGGUUCACGUGGAUGCUGUGAGGAUGAACUGGAAACGUCCGAGCUCCUUCAUGCAGAAUUAGAAACCAGGAAUCUUUCCUCACUGUGUUUUCAUCUUAAUCCUCAUGAUGGUUAGUGAGGUUUGCAACCUUCCACCUGCUCCUUGGGCAUCUUUAUGCUGCUGUGAUACUUAACCUUGAUUGUCAGCUUGCUAAGAUUUAGAAACUCCUGGGAAAUUAGCGGAGCACAUCUCUGAGAGGACGUGUCCGGUGGAUAUGAUCAGAUCUUGAGGGUUUUAAGGGAAUGAAUGGAUCAGUCUCCAGGUAUAUUCAACAGAUGAUGGUAUUUUGAGAGCGGGUCACAGUGUUCCGGUUGCUCUACUCUGUCUCCAAGUCCUGACAUUCUAUCUUCUACUUGAUCCAUUCUCCUAGGAAGGCUUUCUAUGGAGUCUUUUCAAUGUGUGGUAGACUCCCUUGAGACCCAGGGCCACCACAACCAGAAUGCAGCCACAGCACCCAGCCAUGCCCUAGCAUGUACAGAAACCUCGAGACAUCUCUGUAGCAAUCCCCUCUUUGCUUAGGAAGCCUUCCAGGAGGCCUUGAAGGUCGGACAAAGAGACCACCACUCAGUUUAGUCUCCACCUAAGAGCUACGUGUGACCUUGCAAUACUCCCCAAGCCCUCCUUGACAAUAAAAGCCAUUUAAACCCACACAAUGGGUUUAAAGUAGCCCUUAAAAUAUAUGUUCCCAAACAGAUCUCUGUCUGGAUAGGAUCUGGUCUGGUUCUUUCCACCAGGACUUGAA
Onychomys torridus (southern grasshopper mouse) is the source of this 1072-nucleotide long non-coding RNA. RefSeq lists it as uncharacterized. The record is from RefSeq and is a predicted model, not a curated record. Lineage: Eukaryota; Metazoa; Chordata; Mammalia; Rodentia; Cricetidae. The transcript is spliced from 3 exons.